Molecule: unclassified non-coding RNA, 1053 nt
Filed under: Mycoplasma haemofelis
Lineage: Bacteria; Bacillati; Mycoplasmatota; Mollicutes; Mycoplasmatales; Mycoplasmataceae
Description: partial 16S-23S ribosomal RNA intergenic spacer
Source: RNAcentral
GCGGGCGGAGAUGACAGUGGUGGAGAGCACGGUGCUGCCCAGAGCUUGAUGAAUGCGGGCCCGGGCAGGAUCAGAAGCCAGACAGGUUUUUCCCCACCUUCGGAACGUGAACAAGUGGGGGAGACUCUGCUUGACUCCUCGAGCCAGUCCGUGGUCAUUCCGACGCGGCCCUUUUCGUGGCUGAAGAGCUGCCGGAGCCGAUUUUCCUUUUACCGCUUCCAGUAGUUACUGUGAACAAUGUGAUCCUUGAAUGGAUGAGUGAUGCAAAAAAAUUAUGUAAUCCACCGAAAGUGCAGAUUGUUAUUGAAUAAGGAUUUCAGGAACACCAUUCUGUUGCUACCAAAGAGGGGGGGGGAAAGAGCCCCAUGCCUCUGAUACUGCUGCUUCCCGUAGGAAUAUGGGCAAACCCGCCAAGGCAGCCUCUGUGCCUGGAAAGACCCACCAAGCAGACGAGGAUCCUCCUCCCCAUCAUCCCUGACUAGAUUUGCUUGUCCCAGAGGCCCAGGAAGACACUGGAGGAUGACAGGAAAGACCCCUCAAAGGUAUCAGUCUUUCCCUUAGUACUUGCGAAGCAUCCGACCUUGACUAGAAUUAAUAAGUUCCUAAAACAAGACUUACUUCCUCCCAGGAAUGGGACAGAAACAGAAAACUUGAAGUGCAAACAUAUUUCAGAGCCCCAAUCAGAAGAAAGAUUACUUAACAAUAUAAGGUAGUCACUGCCCUUCUAGAAGAUUAAAGUCCAUUGGGCAGGGUAGGUGGGGAGACUAAUAAGACGGGGACUCUGAACAAGUGGUUGGAGAAGAAGCACAACCCGGGUUCCAGUCUAAGAACCCAUCAUGGCUCACGUCUGAAGACAUCGGGAGAAUCUAUUUAUUCUAAAAUGUCUCCCAAUGUCUCUGUGAGCACGAGAAGGAAUCCGCCCGGGCCCCCCCCGCUACUAAGAUGCUAUAAAAAGUGCUUUUUGUUUGAUAUUUCAGAAAACCUUCCCUUUCUUCCCUCUUUCCGCUCCCGUGUUGCUUUACCUGGCUGGGUUUACAUGAAUCUUGGCAGCAC